GACGAACCGUGCGAACGUUAUUCGGAAUCACUGGGCUUAAAGCGCGUGUAGGCGGGGCGGUGCGUCGGUCGCUGAAAUCCCCCGGCUCAACCGGGGAAGGGGCGCCGAUACGACCGCCCUGGAGCGACGUAGGGGGAACUGGAACUUCCGGUGGAGCGGUGAAAUGCGUUGAGAUCGGAAGGAACGCCCGUGGCGAAAGCGAGUUCCUGGACGUCGGCUGACGCUGAGACGCGAAAGCCAGGGGAGCAAACGGG
RNAcentral lists this ribosomal RNA (254 nucleotides) under uncultured bacterium. Its description in RNAcentral is "partial 16S ribosomal RNA". It matches the Rfam family "Bacterial small subunit ribosomal RNA", at positions 524 to 776 of the family's 1533-position model. The record is from RNAcentral.